This 68-nucleotide transfer RNA is filed under the name Megabeleses liriodendrovorax. RNAcentral's name for it is "tRNA-Phe". It matches the Rfam family "tRNA". From Rfam's summary of the family: Transfer RNA (tRNA) molecules are approximately 80 nucleotides in length. Their secondary structure includes four short double-helical elements and three loops (D, anti-codon, and T loops). The record is from RNAcentral. Lineage: Eukaryota; Metazoa; Arthropoda; Insecta; Hymenoptera; Tenthredinidae.
GUUUAAAUAGCUUAAAAUAAAAGCUUUUUAUUGAAGAUGAAAAAAUGAUAAUUAAUUAUCUUUAAACA